This 372-nucleotide ribosomal RNA is filed under the name uncultured organism. RNAcentral's name for it is "partial 16S ribosomal RNA". It matches the Rfam family "Bacterial small subunit ribosomal RNA", at positions 527 to 896 of the family's 1533-position model. The record is from RNAcentral.
GUAGGUGGCGAGCGUUGUCCGGAAUUAUUGGGCGUAAAGCGCGCGCAGGGCGGUCCUUUAAGUCUGAUGUGAAAGCCCACGGCUCAACCGUGGAGGGUCAUUGGAAACUGGGGGACUUGAGUACAGAAGAGGAAAGCGGAAUUCCAAGUGUAGCGGUGAAAUGCGUAGAGAUUUGGAGGAACACCAGUGGCGAAGGCGGCUUUCUGGUCUGUAACUGACGCUGAGGCGCGAAAGCGUGGGGAGCAAACAGGAUUAGAUACCCUGGUAGUCCACGCCGUAAACGAUGAGUGCUAAGUGUUAGGGGGUUUCCGCCCCUUAGUGCUGCAGCUAACGCAUUAAGCACUCCGCCUGGGGAGUACGGCCGCAAGGCUG